CCUCCACAAAGGACUCAAGGCACUGGCCUUUCAACAGCUCAAAGGCCCUGGUAAGAAGGGCCUUCUCCUCUGGAUUUGCAGAAUGCUUUGCAUCUCAUUUGAAUGUUAUUAAUUUGGUGUCAGGCUAGGUUGGCACAGUGUAGGAAAGAGAACAGCUGGCCUUCUCCCUCCCCUCUGUACCCCAGGGCUUACUCCAAGCAUAGCCUUCCCCAACUUGGGGGGCAUGAGGCCUCUGCUGUCACUACCCCCCUCAGUGUUCCCUGACACUUGGAGAGUCUCUUAGUGAAGCCAGCUCCUAAAAGCCAAGGCUGCCUAGACAGUGUGACCACCUGCAGAGUUAUGCUAAAGAAGAAGAAAAGGUCCCCCAAGGUCACCUUCACCAGACCCAGAGAUGCCAUGGGAGGAUGCUGGGAGCCUUCAUCUCUGCAGCCAAUGAAGGCAGCUUGGCUUGGAAAGUGUCCAAUGAUAAUAACCAAGAGAGGGAGGGAACAAAGACAGGCGAGACUCCCAGAGAAAUAUAGAGGGCUCUAGAAAUAAAAUUCCCUGAACUCAAUAUUUCUAGUGCUUGAACUUCCAUAAAAUACAUCUGUCCAGAGACACUGGGUUUAUGGUGCUGCUCUGGGGCUGGGGACCUGGUGCCAGGUUGAUGGCCAUGUGAUGAGGGAGUGGGUCACCAGGUGGGGUGAGCUCCUGAGAAAGAGGGAGAAGGGCUCAGUUGCAUCCUGUAGGCUGCCCAGCAGGUGGGCAUCAAGGGGCUACAGCGAGAUGAGCAUCAGUUAUUUGAUUGAAGAGGAAAGGAAGUGCAUUCGUGCAGAGGGAACAGCAUGUGCGUGGGUAGGCAGGACUAAGAAAUGGUUAGUGUGGCUGCAUGGCAGGGAAUAAGAAGUGUGCUGUGGGCUGUAGCUAGAGAGGUAGGCAGGUGUAGAGCUCCAAAGCUUAGGGGGUUGUACGUGAUCUCUGGGCUCCCCCCUGCCCACCUAUCUGUCCAUCUAUUCAUUCAUCCUUUACCCAACCACCCACCCAGUUCAUUCAUCACCCACUCACUAAUUCAUUUACUGAAUGAAGGAACAUUUAUUGAGUACCAUGUGUAUGCCAGGACCUGAGCUGGCUGCUGGAGGGGCAGAGCCCUCAAGGAGCGCCCAGAUCAGGGAGGGGAGACAGAGUCUCCACACACUGUAAUGCAGCAUGUCCGUGUCUACAAGGUACUUAAACAAGGCUCUGGAAGCCCUAGAGGCUGGGUCUCCCGUGGUUCAAGCUUCUUGAGGCAAGGGUCCAUCAUUCCCUCCAGGGAGCUCUUCCAGCCACACAACUCCUCCUGGCAUCUACUUCUCUUCCUUCCUGUUACAAAAAUAGCCCCCUUCUUACAGCCCCAAAGUGAUGGGGAGUGUUUCUGAUGUCCCUUUCCACUGCCCCUUCCUUUGGGUCUCAGAGGCAUUUGCGGUCGUGGGAGAACCCAGGAGAACUGACAGAACGUGAUCAGUUCUCCUGCAGACGUCAGAACCGAGCCUCAGUUACACUUCUAGCCACUUCCUUUUCUGGGCAUGAAAAUAGGACAGAAAUCCCCAAUGUCUUUCAGUUCCAUCCAUGCAUUCCCACUCCUACUCCUCCUUGAACUACUUGUCCUCUGCUUGUGACAUCACAAUGGUCUCUAUGGCAACUGAUUGUGAGGUCACUAUUCCUUAAAGCAACAGAAUCUGUAGGUCCAAACAAUGGCCUGGAGGACAGAGGAGGAAUUUGAAAUGGAGGCCUGAGAUGGAGAUCACCUCCUGCAGGGACAGGGGAAGGCCACCCGGGCCUAAGGGGAGAGGAGGGUGUUGCUCCUCAGCCCAUCUGCAGGGAGGCCGUAUUCGUUGUUGUUUGCAAGAGCAAGGCUGGCUAGAGAGAGGGACUGCUCCCCAAGAGGCUGAGGGGCACCCUGAACAGUGUCCAGGAGUUCAGGCCGGAGUUCAAAUCUUCCCAGCCUAAUGCUCACCUUGGGCAAGUUUCAGAGACUUCUUCACUUCUUUAAGCAUAAAAGGAAAAUGAUGUCGCUUGCUUUUCCAAAAAAUAUUCAGUGAGAUAACCUGCUUGGCACCUGGGUGGCCACAGGGGUCUCUGCCAGCGGCCGGGCUGGAGGAGAGAGGAGAGCUUUGUAGGAACAGAGGAAGGAAUGUCACCAGGAAGGCAGCAAUCACUCUCCCGGACAGACACAAGAAUCUCUCCAUUCCUGGUCUCCUUCACUGCCUUCCAAACCCCAGCAGGGAAGUCCUUGUGUGGGUUUAACCUCCAUGUUUCUUGCUGCAGUUUCAGCUGGUGUCUUCAGAGGUGCAGCGGUGGCAGCAGCUCUGAGAAGUAUUAUAAUCCCUCCUUUACAGACAAGGAAGCAGAUUCAGAGAGGAGAAGUAACUUGUCCAGGUUAAUAACGCUGGUUCCAUCUCAGUCCCAUGGAAGGAGAGAACAUCACUGCCCUGCAAACUUCUCUCAGCUCAGGAGUGUCCACCAGCUCUUUGAACAUUGUUGAUUCGAAAUGAAUAUUAAACACCAAACCUCACAGAUGCCAGCCCUGCAGGGCAGGCAAUGAACCAAC
This is a non-coding RNA of Microcebus murinus (gray mouse lemur), 2566 nucleotides long. Lineage: Eukaryota; Metazoa; Chordata; Mammalia; Primates; Cheirogaleidae. The record is from RefSeq and is a predicted model, not a curated record.